Molecule: non-coding RNA, 21 nt
Organism: Caenorhabditis elegans
Lineage: Eukaryota; Metazoa; Nematoda; Chromadorea; Rhabditida; Rhabditidae
Source: Ensembl
UUGGAUAGUCUCACGGUCAAU